Molecule: non-coding RNA, 176 nt
Filed under: Candidatus Omnitrophota bacterium
Lineage: Bacteria; Pseudomonadati; Candidatus Omnitrophota
Description: 6S RNA
Rfam family: 6S / SsrS RNA
About the family: E. coli 6S RNA was the first non coding RNA to be sequenced, but its function was unknown until recently. It consists of 184 nucleotides that fold into an extended hairpin structure with a large single-stranded internal bulge.
Source: RNAcentral
AAAAUCCUGUCCUGUGCGCCAGGAGUUUUUCCCUGAGCCAACACUCUUCUUUUGGGAGUCAGAAUUAAGGUGCAGACCGCACGCCCCUGAAAAGGGGAAGCGGAAAACAUCUUACGACGACACCCACCUAUUGGAAGGGUUCAGAGGGGUUUCUCCAACGGCAGGACGGGAUUUUU